This 506-nucleotide ribosomal RNA is filed under the name uncultured bacterium. RNAcentral describes it as "partial 16S ribosomal RNA". It matches the Rfam family "Bacterial small subunit ribosomal RNA", at positions 29 to 523 of the family's 1533-position model. The record is from RNAcentral.
AGUGAACGCUGGCGGUAGGCCUAACACAUGCAAGUCGAACGGCAGCACAGGAGAGCUUGCUCUCUGGGUGGCGAGUGGCGGACGGGUGAGGAAUACAUCGGAAUCUACUCUGUCGUGGGGGAUAACGUAGGGAAACUUACGCUAAUACCGCAUACGACCUACGGGUGAAAGCAGGGGACCUUCGGGCCUUGCGCGAUUGAAUGAGCCGAUGUCGGAUUAGCUAGUUGGCGGGGUAAAGGCCCACCAAGGCGACGAUCCGGAGCUGGUCUGAGAGGAUGAUCAGCCAAGCUGGAACUGAGACGCGGUCCAUACUCCCACGGGAGGCAGCAGUGGGGAAUAUUGGACAAUGGGCGGAAGCCUGAUCCAGCCAUACCGCGUGGGUGAAGAAGGCCUUCGGGUUAUAAAGCCCUUUUGUUGGGAAAGAAAUCCAGCUGGCGAAUACCCGGUUGGGAUGACGGUACCCAAAGAAUAAGCACCGGCUAACUUCGUGCCAGCCGCCGCCGUAA